This 253-nucleotide ribosomal RNA is filed under the name uncultured bacterium. Its description in RNAcentral is "partial 16S ribosomal RNA". It matches the Rfam family "Bacterial small subunit ribosomal RNA", at positions 524 to 776 of the family's 1533-position model. The record is from RNAcentral.
UACGGAGGACCCAAGCGUUAUCCGGAUUCAUUGGGUUUAAAGGGUGCGUAGGCGGGCCUAUAAGUCAGUGGUGAAAGCCCCCGGCUCAACUGGGGAGGGUCACUCGAUACUGAUCGACUCGAAGGCAGGAGAGGGUAGUGGAAUUCCCGGUGUAGUGGUGAAAUGCGUAGAUAUCGGGAGGAACACCAGUGGCGAAGGCGACUACCUGGCCUGUUCUUGACGCUGAGGCGCGAAAGCUAGGGGAGCAAACGGG